CCGGGUGUAGCGCAGUUGGUAGCGCACUUGACUGGGGGUCAAGGGGCCGCAGGUUCAAGUCCUGUCACUCGGACCA
This 76-nucleotide transfer RNA is filed under the name Clostridium sp. RNAcentral's name for it is "tRNA-Pro". It matches the Rfam family "tRNA". From Rfam's summary of the family: Transfer RNA (tRNA) molecules are approximately 80 nucleotides in length. Their secondary structure includes four short double-helical elements and three loops (D, anti-codon, and T loops). Lineage: Bacteria; Bacillati; Bacillota; Clostridia; Eubacteriales; Clostridiaceae. The record is from RNAcentral. RNAcentral also lists the same sequence under 3 other names.